GGUUAAAAAGCUCGUAGUUGGAUUUCUGUUGAGGAUGACCGGUCCGCUCUUUGAGCGCGUAUCUGGUUCAGCCUUGGCAUCCUCUUGGGGAACGCUACUGUGCUUGAUUGCAUGGGGCGGUAUUCAAGACUUUUACUUUGAGGAAAUUAGAGUGUUCACUGCAAGCGUUAGCAAUUGAAUACAUUAGCAUGGAAUAAUAAUAUAGGACCUUGGUACUAUUUUGUUGGUUUCUAGAACUAAGGUAAUGAUUAAUAGGGACAAUUGGGGGCAUUCGUAUUAACGCGUCAGAGGUGGAAUUCUUAGAUUGCGUUACGACGAACUACCGCGAAAGCAUUUGCCAAGGAUGUUUUCAUUGAUCAAGAACGAAAGUAUGGGGAUCGAAGACGCUUAGAUACCGUCGUAGUCUAUACCAUAAACUAUGCCAACUAGAGAUUGGAGGUCGUUCUCUUUAUGACUCCUUCAGCACCUUAUGAGAAAUCAAAGUCUUUGGGUUCCGGGGGGAGUAUGGUCGCAAGGCUGAAACUUAAAGGAAUUGACGGAAGGGCACCACCAGGAGUGGAGCCUGCGGCUUAAUUUGACUCAACACGGGAAAACUUACCAGGUCCAGACAUAGUAAGGAUUGACAGAUUGAUAGCUCU
RNAcentral lists this ribosomal RNA (638 nucleotides) under uncultured marine eukaryote. RNAcentral describes it as "SSU rRNA". It matches the Rfam family "Eukaryotic small subunit ribosomal RNA", at positions 617 to 1258 of the family's 1831-position model. The record is from RNAcentral.